Long non-coding RNA from Bos taurus (domestic cattle), 4195 nucleotides. Lineage: Eukaryota; Metazoa; Chordata; Mammalia; Artiodactyla; Bovidae. The record is from Ensembl.
GAGCCAACAAAUUUGUUGGAUAACAAAUUGGCAUCCAUCUCCAACGUGGGCUGGACAUUUCUCACCUAGUUUUGUGGCAUCACCUGUCCUACGGCUGCUUCCCGUGGGCAGAGCCUGUUGUAGGUGCGGCCAGCAGCACUUGAGCCUGUGUGGGAGUCACGGGCCCCAACCAUGCUGGCAUCUCUGCUUCUCACGCCCCUCCCUAAAUGGAGAAAAUAGAAUACCUGUCUCUUAGUAUUCGGAGAUUACAGUAGACCCCAUCUGUGAAGUGUGGUGCCUGGACACGGUGAACCAGCAACAUAAGCGCUGGAGCCACAGCCAUGACCACAAGCUGGAAAGAAGCAUUGCGUGGGUGGAGCAGGAAGUGUCUAGGUUGCACAUGGGGGUCACUGGUAGACAAUGAGCUGGCUGCUGUGGUCCAGGCUGGCCUGGAAGCGGGGAGCAUUAGCAGUCAAAAAUUUUGAAAAAAAGAAGAACACGAAAUGAUUCUAUAAGCUGGAAAGCAGGUGGAUGGGUAUGAACGGAGGAGAAAGGACAGAAGAGUCCAGCCCGGGACAUCGCCAGAGGGAGGCUCAGGCUGCUGGUACCUCCCUCAACCAGAGGGGCACAGGCUGCGAGCUGGCAGAAAUUCUACAAGCUUUUCUUGUGGAGUUUCCUGAGGAAGUACUCCAGCAAAACAAGGAGGAAAAUCAAGAAGGAAGGAUCCAAGAAACAGGCUCUUGGUGAAGGGAAGUCCUCAGAGGACAUGGAUGCAGCAACCUGGGGGACCCCUGGUCAGGAGAUGACAUUUCCUCUGUGUGUAUGCAGAGAGAGAGAGAGACAGACAGACACAGAGAGAACUCCGGCAUCUCCUCCUUCUCUUGUAAGGAGACAGGCAAGUAGGGUUGCCAGGAGCUAGUGGCUCAGAAUGACAGAAAUCUGUUGUCUCACAGGGUCUGCAGGCCAGAAAUCCCAGUUGUAUUGGAUCAGGACCCACCGUCAUUCAGCAUGACCUCACUUGAACUUGAUCAUGUCUGCAAAGACCUUGUUUCCCAAUAAAGGACACAUUUACAGUGAUUUUUUUUCUAAGGGGAGGUUUACUUAUCCCUCACUGAUGGUGUUGAAGAAAAAUGGGGCAGGAGAGGAUGACUGUGUACUGCUCUCUGGUGAGUCCCUGGGAUGGGCCACUAAGUGAGGGUCUACAGCUUUUCGUGGGAAAGAAUUCAAGAGUGAGACUAGUAAAGGGAAAGCAGGUUUACUGAGAGAGACACACUCCACAGACACAGUGUGGGCAUCUCAGAAGGCUAGAGGCAGCUGGGAAAUAUGGAGUGGUUAGCUCUUGCUGCUGUUAAGUCACUUCAGUCGUGUCUGACUCUGCGUGACCCCAGAGAUGGGAGCCCACCAGGCUCCCCCGUCCCUGGGAUUCUCUAGGCAAGAACACUGGAGUGGGUUGUCAUUUCCUUCUCCAAUGCAUGAAAGUGAAAAGUGAAAGGGAAGUCGCUCAGUCGUGUCCGAUUCUUCGCGACCCCAUGGACUGCAGCCUACCAGGCUCCUCCAUCCAUGGGAUUUGCCAGGCAAGAGUACUGGAGUGGGGUGCCAUUGCCUUGGGUAAUUUCACAGGCUAACUACUGGGAGAAAGCGGGUGGAUUUCCAGGCUUUGGGGCCCCACCCACUUUUGGCCUUUUAUGGUUCCCCGGAACUGUCAUGGCGCCUGUGGGCAUGGCUUAGAUGCUAAUAUAUUACAAUGAGCGUAUAAUGAGGCAGACCUUCCACCAGAAGUCCAACCUUCCACCAUUUUGGGCCCAUUCAGGCUCUGCCAGCUUUAGGUCAAGUCGCCCACUGCCUUUUAGCGGCCGUACCCUACCCCUUCCAUAUUGUUUCACUGGAAGUUGAGGAGCAGUUAGGAGACACACUGUGUAGAGCCAGCGGCCACCUGGGGCCCAUGUGAAGGCGGACGGCACCCAGGCGUGGGGCUGCCAGAGACACCCUCAGGACCUAGCUGAGGAGGAGCCAGGACCGCCCGCCUCUGGAGCCCCCGCGAACCCGUGAGACUAGGGAAAUGAUGUUAAAUGAAAAGCGAAUUUGAGUGAGUUUCCUAUUCGAGUUCAGAAUGGGUCAUAAAGCAGUAGAGCAACUUGCAACAUCAACAGCGCAUUUGGCCCAGGAACUGCUAAUGAAUGUUACAGUGCAGUGGUGGUUCAAGAAGUUUUGCAAAGGAGAUGAGACCCUUGAAGAUGAGAAGCACAGUGGCUGGCCAUCGAAAGUUGACAAUGACUAAUUGAGAGUUAUCAUCAAAGCUAAUCCUCUUAUAACUACAUGAGAAGUUGCCAAAGAACUCAACAUUGACUAUUCUACAGUAAUUUGGCAUUUGAAGUAAAGUGGGUGCCCCGCGAGCUGACUGCAAAUCAGAAAAAUUGUUUUGAAGUGUGGUCUUCUCUCAUUCUAUUCAACAGCAAACAAACCAUUUCUCUUUGGAUUGUGACAUGCAACAAAAAGUGGAUUUUAUAUGAUAACCACUGAUGACCCCUCAGUGACUGAACCUAGAAAAGCACUUCCCAAACUUGCACCAAAAAAAGGUCAUGGUCACUGUUUGUUGGUCUGCUGCCCAUCUCAUCCACUACAACUUUCUGAACCCAGGUGAAACCAUUACAUCUGAGAAGUAUGCUCAGCAAAUCGACCAGAUGCACCCAAAAUUGUCAUACCUGCAUCUGGCAUUGGUCAACAGAAUAGGCCCAGUUCUUCACCAUGACAAUGUCUGACCACACAUUGCACAAUCAACACUUAAACAUUGAACGAACUGGGCUACAAAGCUUUGCCUCAUCUGCCAUUCUCACCUGACUUCUCACUAGCGGACUAGCAUUUCUUCAAGCAUCUUGUCAACUUUUUGCAGGGAAGAUGCUUCCACAACCAGCAGGAUGCAUAAAAUGGUUUCCAAGAGUUUGUUGAAUCCUAAAGCAUAGAUUUUUAACCUUCAGGGAUAAACAAACUUAUUUCUCGUUGGCAAAAAUGUGUUGAUUGUAGUGGUUCCUAUUUUGAUUAAUAAAGAUGUGUUUGAGUAUGGAUAUAAUUAUUUAAAAUUCACGGUCCAAAACCAAAAUUACGUUUGCACCAAUCUAAUAGUAUCUUCAGAGAAAUUUGGGUGAGAUUUUGCAUCCACAAAAUCAGAACUGGUUGCUAUGAAAAGAGAAUCAGAAGCAGUGGUUUUUGUUUGUUUGGUUUCUGGCUUAGAGCAGCAGCAGCAGUCCUAGAGGCUGGAAAUCAGGUGUUGGCAGGGCUGUGUUCCUUCUGAGGGCUCUAGGGGAGAAUCAUGAGGCUUUUGGAAGCUAAGCAUUCGGACAGAGGGCUGAGAGACAAAGCUGAGGAGACCAUUUGGAUGUGAAACACAGGGACGAAGAGAUUUAAAAUAUAAGAGAAAACAUAAGGGACCUAUAGCAUUACUCCAAGAGAGCCCCACCCAGGCUAUCCAUUUUUAGACAGAAGAUGGAGAGAAAAAUAUUACCAAAAAAAAAAAAAAAGCAAACUUUUUGUUCUUUCUUUUAAAAAUUUUAUUAAAAUAUAGUAGAUUUAUAAUGACUAACAAAUUUUUAGAUUUGUUAGUCGCAAGUAUGUAGUAAUUUAGUUAUAUGUAUAAACUAUAUAGCUAUAUAUUCCUUUUUCUACAUUCUCUUCCAUUGUAGGUUAUUACAAGAUAUUGAGUGAGUAUAGUUCCCUGUGGUAUACAGUCAGUCCUUGUUAUGUAUUUCAUAUAUUUGUAGUUGUUGUUUAGUUGCUAAUUCAUGUCUGACUCUUUUGCGACCCCAUGGACUGUAGCCUGCCAGGCACCUUUGUCCGUGGGAUUUCCCAGGCAAGAAUACUGGAGUGGGUGGCCAUUUCCUUCUCCGGGGGAUGGUCACAACCCAGUGGUUGAACUCACAUGUUCUGCAUCUGCAUUGGCAGGUGAAUUCUUUACCACUGAGCCACCCGGGAAAGCCCGCAUUUAUAUAUAGUAGUGUGUAUGUUUUAAUCCCCAGCUCCUAAUUUAUCCCUCUCCCCCAUCUCCUUUGUUUUCUAUAUCUGUGAAUCUGUUUCUGUUUUGUAAAUAAGUUAAUUUACAUCCUUUUUAAAUUGCACCUACAGCUUAUAUCAUAUGUUAAUUUGUCUUUCUCUGUUUGACUUGCUUCACUUGGUGUGAUAAUCUUGCAUGUUGCUGCAAGUGGCAUAAUUUCGUUCUUUUUUA